CGGCGGACGGGUGAGUAACGCGUGGGUAACCUGCCUCAUACAGGGGGAUAACAGUUAGAAAUGGCUGCUAAUACCGCAUAAGACCACAGUACUGCAUGGUACAGUGGUAAAAACUCCGGUGGUAUGAGAUGGACCCGCGUCUGAUUAGGUAGUUGGUGAGGUAACGGCCUACCAAGCCGACGAUCAGUAGCCGACCUGAGAGGGUGACCGGCCACAUUGGGACUGAGACACGGCCCAG
RNAcentral lists this ribosomal RNA (238 nucleotides) under uncultured bacterium. RNAcentral's name for it is "partial 16S ribosomal RNA". It matches the Rfam family "Bacterial small subunit ribosomal RNA", at positions 96 to 334 of the family's 1533-position model. The record is from RNAcentral.